RNAcentral lists this ribosomal RNA (468 nucleotides) under uncultured bacterium. Its description in RNAcentral is "partial 16S ribosomal RNA". It matches the Rfam family "Bacterial small subunit ribosomal RNA", at positions 28 to 507 of the family's 1533-position model. The record is from RNAcentral.
GACGAACGCUGGCGGCGUGCUUAACACAUGCAAGUCGAACGGAAAGGCCCUGCUUUUGUGGGGUGCUCGAGUGGCGAACGGGUGAGUAACACGUGAGUAACCUGCCCUUGACUUUGGGAUAACUUCAGGAAACUGGGGCUAAUACCGGAUAGGAGCUCCUGCUGCAUGGUGGGGGUUGGAAAGUUUCGGCGGUUGGGGAUGGACUCGCGGCUUAUCAGCUUGUUGGUGGGGUAGUGGCUUACCAAGGCUUUGACGGGUAGCCGGCCUGAGAGGGUGACCGGCCACAUUGGGACUGAGAUACGGCCCAGACUCCUACGGUAGGCAGAAGGGGGGAAUAUGGCACAAUGGGCGGAAGCCUGAUGCAGCAACGCCGCGGUCGGGAUGACGGCCUUCGGGGUGUAAACCGCUUUCGCCUGUGACGAAGCGUGAGUGACGGUAAUGGGUAAAGAAGCACCGGCUAACUACGUG